CUGAGUUGGUUUGCUUACCUCAACGGUUUGUCCCUGUUUGGCGUGUGGCUCUGUUCAUAGGUCUGUAACUGUGUCUUUGCCCGUCAGUCUUCCUGUGACCCUGUGCUUUUCUCUCUUUCUCUCUCUCUCUCUGUCCCUGUCUCUGUCCCUCUGUCCCUGAGUGAUGUGAGGCCGGGCUGGGGGCAGUCGCAGCCGCGUCCUCUCUUGCCCUCAUUGGUUCGCAGCCGCUCCCCCGGGCAGCCGCCGCCAGUCCCGCCCCUCCCCCGAACCCCCGCCCGGGACACGAGCGCGCUCAGAGCCGCCAGAAAGCUCAGUCUCCUGCUCAAAACAGGAGCGCAGCAGCCGGAGGGAGUGGGGACAAGCUCGCUGAACACUGGGCGUCUCGACAGGGACCAGAGCCUGCAGGACUGUUCCGAGACGCUGCGGUGGCGGCGGCGCCGGAGGACGCGGAGGACUCCCUGGCCACCCGCCCUCCGUGCGCUCUGCCACCGGGCGCUCAGCAGAGACCCCGGGCUGCGGCUGCACUUGCUGAGUGCCUCUCCCCGCCGCCGCAGCCCAGAGGCGCCCAGCACCUGGAGCUCACUGGAGCUGAGGGUCCGAGCUGAGCGGGCUGUUGUAAAGCCGAAAGGCGAGUCAGUGACUGGGACCUCUGUCCUGGUGGCGACGGAGAGAAACAGUGAGCCCGAGGGGCGCGGGCACAGAACUGUCCAGCUCCGAGAACUGGGGUCCGCCAGCCGGCGGGGAAAGCAGCUGAGCGCGGAGGCGAGUGAGCGGACGCGUCCCGGGGUCUUUGCAGUCCCCGCCGGCCCCAAGGCACCGACUCUCGCUGCGCCAUUCGGCCUUCGCCGCGCUGCCCCACGACCGCUCGCUGCGCGACGCCCGCGCGCCCUGGAAGACGCGGCCGGUGUAGCUUGGGACUGAGCCACGGCCGCCGGGCGCCCCGUCCCGACCUAGCCAAGAGCAGCCAGCUUGAGCCUGGGGCAGGAACCGCAAGCGUGCAACUAGCCUGGAGCUACCCGUCUGGACUCGCAGGCCCUGUGGCUGUUUCCCACAGCUGCUACGGCCUCUCUUGCUCCUUGACACCGAGGAGGACCCCACUAGGAUCCGAGCGUCGUGAACUCACCUGAACUUUGGAAGGUUGGCACUGGGGGGCCGCAUCCCCCUGGGAAAUGACUGAACGCGGGGUUUCAGUGGGUCCCGCCUGGGUCUAAGGACCCAGUUUCUUCUGUGAGCACGGGCAGUGGGAGGCCGGUGGAAAGGCGCAGGGGCCCACCUACGCGUCUCACAUCUUCAGGGGCGCAUUUCUACAAUAAAAACUCACCCAAUUAGACCUAGCGCUGAGAACGUGCUG
Molecule: long non-coding RNA, 1351 nt
Filed under: Homo sapiens (human)
Lineage: Eukaryota; Metazoa; Chordata; Mammalia; Primates; Hominidae
Description: HSALNT0094863
Source: RNAcentral